UCGGAAUCUGGGAGGACCAUCUCCUAAGGCUAAAUACUCUCUAGUGACCGAUAGUGAACCAGUACCGUGAGGGAAAGGUGAAAAGUACCCCGGAAGGGGAGUGAAAGAGAACUUGAAACCGUGUGCUUACAAGUAGUCAGAGCCCGUUAAUGGGUGAUGGCGUGCCUUUUGUAGAAUGAACCGGCGAGUUACGAUCUGAUGCAAGGUUAAGCAGAAAAUGUGGAGCCGUAGCGAAAGCGAGUCUGAAUAGGGCGAAUGAGUAUUUGGUCGUAGACCCGAAACCAGGUGAUCUACCCUUGGUCAGGUUGAAGUUCAGGUAACACUGAAUGGAGGACCGAACCGACUUACGUUGAAAAGUGAGCGGAUGAACUGAGGGUAGCGGAGAAAUUCCAAUCGAACUUGGAGAUAGCUGGUUCUCUCCGAAAUAGCUUUAGGGCUAGCCUCAAGUGAUGAUUAUUGGAGGUAGAGCACUGUUUGGACGAGGGGCCCCUCUCGGGUUACCGAAUUCAGACAAACUCCGAAUGCCAAAUAAUUUAACUUGGGAGUCAGAAUGUGGGUGAUAAGGUCCAUAUUCGAAAGGGAAACAGCCCAGACCACCAGCUAAGGUCCCAAAAUAUAUGUUAAGUGGAAAAGGAUGUGGCGUUGCCCAGACAACUAGGAUGUUGGCUUAGAAGCAGCCAUCAUUUAAAGAGUGCGUAAUAGCUCACUAGUCGAGUGACACUGCGCCGAAAAUGUACCGGGGCUAAACAUAUUACCGAAGCUGUGGAUUGUCCUUUGGACAAUGGUAGGAGAGCGUUCUAAGGGCGUUGAAGCAUGAUCGCAAGGACAUGUGGAGCGCUUAGAAGUGAGAAUGCCGGUGUGAGUAGCGAAAGACGGGUGAGAAUCCCGUCCACCGAUUGACUAAGGUUUCCAGAGGAAGGCUCGUCCGCUCUGGGUUAGUCGGGUCCUAAGCUGAGGCCGACAGGCGUAGGCGAUGGAUAACAGGUUGAUAUUCCUGUACCACCAUUAUUCGUUUUAAGCGAUGGGGGGACGCAGUAGGAUAGGCGAAGCGUGCUGUUGGAGUGCACGUCCAAGCAGUGAGAUUGAGUGUUAGGCAAAUCCGGCACUCUUAAGAUUGAGCUGUGAUGGGGAGAGGAACUUGUUCCUCGAGUCGUUGAUUUCACACUGCCGAGAAAAGCCUCUAGCUAGAAUAACGGUGCCCGUACCGCAAACCGACACAGGUAGUCAAGAUGAGAAUUCUAAGGUGAGCGAGCGAACUCUCGUUAAGGAACUC
Molecule: ribosomal RNA, 1273 nt
Filed under: Staphylococcus pseudintermedius
Lineage: Bacteria; Bacillati; Bacillota; Bacilli; Caryophanales; Staphylococcaceae
Description: partial 23S ribosomal RNA
Rfam family: Bacterial large subunit ribosomal RNA
Source: RNAcentral